RNAcentral lists this ribosomal RNA (403 nucleotides) under Verrucomicrobiota bacterium. RNAcentral's name for it is "Verrucomicrobia bacterium partial 16S ribosomal RNA". It matches the Rfam family "Bacterial small subunit ribosomal RNA", at positions 355 to 776 of the family's 1533-position model. Lineage: Bacteria; Pseudomonadati; Verrucomicrobiota. The record is from RNAcentral.
UGGGGAAUAUUGCACAAUGGGCGCAAGCCUGAUGCAGCAACGCCGCGUGAACGAUGAAGGUCUUCGGAUCGUAAAGUUCUGUUGCAGGGGAAGAUAAUGACGGUACCCUGUGAGGAAGCCCCGGCUAACUACGUGCCAGCAGCCGCGGUAAUACGUAGGGGGCUAGCGUUAUCCGGAUUUACUGGGCGUAAAGGGUGCGUAGGUGGUCUUUCAAGUCGGUGGUUAAAGGCUACGGCUCAACCGUAGUUAGCCUCCGAAACUGGAAGACUUGAGUGCAGGAGAGGAAAGUGGAAUUCCCAGUGUAGCGGUGAAAUGCGUAGAUAUUGGGAGGAACACCGGUGGCGAAAGCGGCUUUUUGGCCUGCAACUGACACUGAGGCGCGAAAGCGUGGGGAGCAAACAGG